GAGGGCAUAGCUCAAGGGGUAGAGCGCAUGCUCAGCAUGCAUGAGGUCUUGGGUUCAAUCCUAGUAUCUCCU
Molecule: transfer RNA, 72 nt
Filed under: Camelus bactrianus (Bactrian camel)
Lineage: Eukaryota; Metazoa; Chordata; Mammalia; Artiodactyla; Camelidae
Also listed under: 2 other names
Rfam family: tRNA
About the family: Transfer RNA (tRNA) molecules are approximately 80 nucleotides in length. Their secondary structure includes four short double-helical elements and three loops (D, anti-codon, and T loops). Further hydrogen bonds mediate the characteristic L-shaped molecular structure. tRNAs have two regions of fundamental functional importance: the anti-codon, which is responsible for specific mRNA codon recognition, and the 3' end, to which the tRNAs corresponding amino acid is attached (by aminoacyl-tRNA synthetases). tRNAs cope with the degeneracy of the genetic code in two manners: having more than one tRNA (with a specific anti-codon) for a particular amino acid; and 'wobble' base-pairing, i.e. permitting non-standard base-pairing at the 3rd anti-codon position.
Source: Rfam by way of RNAcentral